Molecule: long non-coding RNA, 107 nt
Organism: Sinocyclocheilus grahami
Lineage: Eukaryota; Metazoa; Chordata; Actinopteri; Cypriniformes; Cyprinidae
Exons: 3
Source: RefSeq, a predicted model, not a curated record
UUUUAGUGUCUGCCGUCUCACUAAUGAGGACAUAAAUACAUGAACAUCAUCUCCAGAACUGAUCUGAGAGUCCCUUCAUGAGCAUUCAUUUGACCGUUUCAUAUAGU